Molecule: long non-coding RNA, 800 nt
Filed under: Nicotiana benthamiana
Lineage: Eukaryota; Viridiplantae; Streptophyta; Magnoliopsida; Solanales; Solanaceae
Description: long non-coding RNA (NBEN_LNC007972)
Source: RNAcentral
UUUUACCAAAUCCGGGUUCCAGAUGCCAAGGCAUUCUCUUAGAGUGUUUCAAGGUUCUAAGGAGAUUCAAGAGCCCAGGCAAUGCUUACACCCUAAAGGGUGAAUGUUGUAACAGAGUAGUGCAAUGUGUAGAAUUACCAGCCCUUAGGCAUCCAAGUUUAGAGGGAACUCUAGGGUCCCUAAGCAUGGCUUACCGGAGAUGGGUAGAACUUAAGAGCUAGGAGUAGGUAUAAAGUGAGAGAGGAACCUUAGCAGGAGGUGGUCAUACCCAGCCAUGGCAGAGACUGGCGCAUUGCUAACCUCCUACUCAGAUUCAAACAAAUAAGAGCAGACUCUUAUAGAGUCAAACUCAGGUUUAAAUGGUGAUCAGGACACCAACAGAGCCAAACUAGAGCUCAGCCAUUGAGGGGAAAGGGAAUGGGAAAGCAAUCAAGUAAAGAGUCAGAAGAGUCUAGUUUUGGAUCACAGACAACAAUUCAUUGUGUUGCUAUGACCCAUGACAAUACUCAAAUACAAAGGGAAUAAAGGGAAAUGGAUUAAUCACAACACAAGAGACAUAGUAUGCUUGAAGGUAAUUACAGAGUGCAGGAAAGCAUAAAUAAACACACAAAGAAAGAGGGGUAGAAACAGAGAAGUUGAACAAGGAUGCUAUUUAACAUAGAUGAAAAAAGCAGUUAUAUAUUCUAGAACAACAAAAUAUCAAUAGCAAACAAACAGCCAGGAACAAUAGGAACAUACUCAAGAAAACUCCCUAAGUGCUUAGAAGUUCAGACAGCAGGAAGUAUAGAUAUAGAAUUCUU